AAAGUAAAGCUAUUGAAAUUAUGGACAGGACUUAGGUUCAUUCGUUCCAAUGGGUCUACUCGGAGUAGGACUUCAUUGCCUAUAACCCUAUUUUCAAAUUUAAUUUAUUAACUUAAAAGAACAAGAUUGGCUUAUAUUCAUCAUGUGGCGUUGACCAUUGCUGUGGGCCUGAAACUGACUUUGAAAAGCAGCUUUUGACUGUUGCACUAUUGUUUGAAAGUGCCAGCACAGUCUUGACCAAAAGACCAAGUCCCAGAAAUGCAGGUUCGUGUUUUGCAAGCUCAUCCGCAGAUCGUACCAAAUAUAUUUCUUUAAUAAGGAGUUUUGCCAACUUAAGCUUGGGUUUCAAGUUUCCUAGCUUUUUGCAGUUGUCUGGCUAAUGUUUCAAUAUUUCAGAUAGUUGAUUCAAAUUAUCCUCAUUCCCAUACUGGAGCAAAUGCUUGCAAGCUGCUAUUAUAACAGAAUUGUCUCUCCCUGAAUCUGUUUUCCAAUUCGUGAGUGCAACGGUCAAUAACACUGUUUUAUAUAUAUAUAUAUAUUUUAAAUAAUAUUUAUUAAUAAUUUCAGAAUUACAAAAAAGAGAAAAAAAUAAAGAACAACACUGCAAUACAUAAAAAGAAAAAACGCAAAACAUAAAAACCAAUACAACAAUACAGCAAAAAAGAAAGUAAAAAAAGGAAGGGAAAAAACACACAAAUCCCACAUUACAUAUCUUCAACUUCCAUUUGCUUGUUUCAUUGACCUCCUCACACCUCCCUUUUUGUAUUCUAGUUUAGUUAGUUAUUUCAGCAAAUUCUUUCCAUCUUUCUCCAUUUUUGUUAAAUAAUUUAUCUUCGCAAUUUAACCUAUUAAUUAACUCGACAGAUCCUUUCCAUCUUUCCCCAUAUUCUGUUAUUCAAAUUACCCUAAUUUAUUUAACCUUAUCUUACCAUAAAAUACCUUAAAGCUUAAAACUUAAUACUCAGUUAUACAUGACUCCUGAUGUCAUUUCUGCUAGAGUCAUAUAGUUUCAUUCCCACAUUUUCCCCAAUAUUCAUUAAUUUUAGGCUAAUUCCCUAAAUAAAAAAUUUUCUUUAUAAAUUUUCUUCCAAUCUUCAUCCAACGUCUCUUCUUCCUGGUCUUGGGUCGUGUCAGUCCUUACUGUCCAUUCCAUCUAGUCCAUCAACCUGGAAGUCUUAUGUCCGAGGCCCUUAAGUCUCUUCCAUGUCCCUUCUGCAGAUCUUCUUCUUCUUGUUUAUACUUGCCCUUUUCCUUGUCUUUUGUUGGUCUCUUUCUUAAUUUCUUUCCUUUCUCAUUGAGGAGUAGGUCUCUGGGGGAUUCCAACCCAAAAUUGUCUCCAUCUCCCUUCAUCAAACCCACCCAUUCCCCACAGUCCCACUCCCCACAGUCAUCAAUGUAAUCCAAAAAGUAUUUUAAAGCAUAUUUCAAGGUCUCUCCAAAGUUAAGAACCUCCUCAGCUCCAGACUCCCCUGGCCCGCUCCAACUUCAAUCUUCAAUGACAGCGGCUUAUGCUCCUGUAGGGCCUCGGGUCUCUCCAUUUGUAUUAUUUGAGGUGCAACCGCAUCCUCCUCCAUUAUCUUCUGCACUUGCCCAGUCAGUACAGGUUCAUGAGUUGGUCCCUGAAUGGUUUCUGUAUCAAUGUUCCCUGUUCGUCCACAGUUAUUGACCACAACAGUCAUCAAGUCCAUUUUCUCAUUCAUCAAAUCCAUCUUCUCGUGCAUCUGUUCCAGCAAGGCACUUGUCUUGCAUAAAGCAAGCACCCAAACUUCCUCCCAGCUCAUCUUUAGUCAAGGUCAGAAAAGACUGGUCCCACGAUCUUAAUCUCACAGCUGUUGAGUCCUCAAGUAGACUGCAGCAACAAUUUAACAAGCUCCCUCUAGAGGAGACAAUUUCUAUUUGUAUCCAUUUUUUUUAAGGCAAGUCCAACAAAGGAAAAUUACUUUCAUUUUUCAGAUAUUUUUCAGAUAUUUUGUUUCUUUAGAAUGCAAAAGGCAACAUUGGAAUCAGUUUAUUUCUCUUCUUUAGCUAUCUGUCAAAGUAUUCCAUUCACAGUCAAUGAACCUCUCCAACUAUUUCUGUCUCUGACACCCCGUUCCCAGGUUCGAGACGGCAGAAACUUAUCCUUCUUCACUCCCUCUCCUGCAGGGGUUAAACAAAGUCCCCCCCCUUUUCUCCUGCUUCCAAGGGGGUUUCAGUAAUUAUAAAUGAAGGAAAUUUAGACUUUUUUAAUGGCUUUCCAGGCGUUAGCUUCCAUGGUUUUUGCGUUAGUCUCUAUACCAAAAGCGGAAGGCGGACUUCCUGUUUUGAACCUUCCCGCUUCGAUGCCAAAUUAAGAUAUUUCUUGAUCCAAUUUUCCGUUUCUACUCACAGGUACUUGUUUUAAAUCCAAUUGUCCACAGGAAAAAGUCAGCGCUCUCCGGCAAUGGCUGUGCGGCUUCACUCCGUGAAAGUAGCAAUCAGUUCGCAGCACCGCACCGCUCACCCCACUUCGCUCCAGCGCCCCAAAAUGGGGUUCCCGGUGAGUGGGGGGGCGCUCCUGGUGCCCUGCCAAACCCCACGUUCCCAGGCUUCCUCCGCCUGGGAUUUCUAGCGGGUCCCCACCUUCGCCACGGCGGGAAGACCCAGUUUCCACGGAGCCUGUUCCUCCGGUCGGAGGAACUCCGCCAGUCACCGAUGGCGCUGACCCGGAAGUCAAUAACACUGUUAUAAGGCCUUCUCACUAAGGUUCAUUUUCACUACUUCUUUCAAAAUUAAUAGCAUCACUGUUAACAAUACUGUCAGAAAACCUCUGUGGGAAUUAACAAAGUCGUUCUGAUGGUGCUUCAUGUUCAGCAGAUUCAUAUGCUUCAACAAAAGUGCUGAAAACAAUUAUUUCACAUUUCUUGCAAAUGCCCCUGAUCCAUUUAAAUGCUGUUUCAAUAUUCAUAUUCUUCUGGUGCAGUAGUGAUGUUACAACUUUAAUAUAUUCCCAGGACGUUUAGCAUAAUUUCAGUAAGAAUCACUGUAAAGGACUACAGAUCCAAUCAAACAAUCCAAUAGUUUGUUUUUAUUUGGCCAAAGUUUUUACAAGGGAAGGAUGCACUGAUCAAUUUGCAGUUUUAAAUUCACCUCAGUAUCUCAGUAAAGCCAGAUGAAUUUCUUGUUAAUAUCUUAGUGGUACAUUGUGGGGGUCAGGUGGGAUAGCUAUGAGGAAUUAUGAAAAAUGAAGCAAGCUAUUGUGUCAGCAACGAAAGCAUUGCUUUGACUGGGUUUGAGCCAUUGACAAUAAUUUCUGAUAGCAAUCCCACCUGACUCCCACAGUGCAUUCUCUUUCCAAAGCAGCAGUGGGCCUGCUGACAGAUGAAGGGUUAGAUUCAGUGCUGUUUUUGUCUGGUAAAAGCACUACCACAUUGCCUCUGACAGGAGUUGCUGUUCUAGAUUUAUUUCCUGCUCAAAUACAGCCACAACACAUGGCUAAUGAAUAUAGUAAAUGUGCUAUUAUUAGUAGUAGAAUGUCAUCCAAAAUUUACAAUUCAGUAACUUCAAAAUAAUAUAUAUAUCAGUCCAUAACCAAGUAGUCAAUGAAAUGAAUUGCUGGUGGGGAACACCACGACGUCUUUCAAUGGAUGAUGUCUAAGACAGUAUAUCCAGAUUGAAUCAACUGUUUCGAAGAUGAAUCUUCAUCAGCAAAUAGUUUUUGAUAGAAUAUCCAUACAGGUAAAUGUAAUACUUGUGGAUCAGAACUCACUAACCAGUGUAGCUAACCAGCAAUUCAUUUCAUUUUGGAUGACAUUCUACUACUAAUAAUAACACAUUUACUAUAUUCAUUAGCCAUUACAGGUUAUUCUGUAUUGCAACACAGGGGUUUGUUUUUGUCACUAGAUGUAUUUCCAGCAGAGAAACUUACAAUUGAUGUUUGCUUUGAAGUCCUGAUGAUGAUAAUAAUAAUAAUAGUGGUGGUGGUGAACUGAAGAUCUGCAUUUCCUCCCAGCCUGGGGAAGAUAUAACUCAAUCUAUCUCCUGCCUCCCCACACCCUGUCUAGCAAGGCACAGAAUCACACACCGUAGCCAAGAGUUGAAAAAAUACAAUUUGCUUAUGAGGUAAUUGACUGCUUCAGUUAAUUGACUUAUUCCGACCCACAGCAAGCAGAGACUACUGAAUCCCACCUCACCACUAGUGAUUGCUCUGGAUGGAUAUCAUAGCAAUGGAUAUCAUAGCCAUCGGGUCUGUUUGCUAUUUCAUCAGCCAGAUAGGACAGUUGUGUUUGAGCUCGAGUCCCUGAUUGGUAAAUUUAGAUACAUAAGAACACACCAGGCCUGAUAAUAUGCCCUCCAUUUUAAUCUCUGCCUGCUGACCCUUCUCACAUGAUUUUUCAUGGUAAGCAAAUUCCACUGCAGCAGCAACACCCCCACCCCCACCACCAAGUAAAAUAGCAUGGAAACACAAGUGGCAGUUUUAAAAGCUUCUCAAAAUGAUCUCCUUUUUUUAAAAAAAAAUCUAUUCAUUUCUCCCCACAAUAUAGUCAAAUUACAACUACAAAAAACUGGAGGUGGAUUGAAUAAGUAGAAUAGAGUCUUCUCUUAAAAGUAAUUCUUAGUCCUUACUACCCUCAGUAGCUCCUCCCAGCUCACGUGGGAUCUUUCCUUUCUCAUCCCAGCUUCUCAUACUGGGAACCAACCUUUUCUUAUCUCUUCCCCCGGGUCCUCUAUCAACCAUGUACCACCCCCCAAACAUUGGACUCCAAAGAAAGAAAAAGAAGAGAAACGAAGACGGGAAACAGAAAACGGAAUGGGACUAUAAAAAGGAGAGGGAGAGAGCAAGAGAAAGAAACAUUAGAAAAAGAUGCAAAAAGAAAACUUUUGAUUUUCCAUCUGCCGGUUUCAUAAUUUUUUUUAAAAAAAUAUUACUUAAA
RNAcentral lists this long non-coding RNA (4892 nucleotides) under Podarcis lilfordi (Lilford's wall lizard). Lineage: Eukaryota; Metazoa; Chordata; Lepidosauria; Squamata; Lacertidae. The record is from RNAcentral.